Molecule: ribosomal RNA, 432 nt
Filed under: uncultured bacterium
Lineage: Bacteria
Description: partial 16S ribosomal RNA
Rfam family: Bacterial small subunit ribosomal RNA
Source: RNAcentral
AACGAACGCUGGCGGCAUGCCUAACACAUGCAAGUCGAACGAGACCUUCGGGUCUAGUGGCGCACGGGUGCGUAACGCGUGGGAACCUGCCCUUAGGUUCGGAAUAACUCCCCGAAAGGGGUGCUAAUACCGGAUAAUGUCUUCGGACCAAAGAUUUAUCGCCUUUGGAUGGGCCCGCGUUGGAUUAGCUGGUUGGUAGGGUAAAAGCCUACCAAGGCGACGAUCCAUAGCUGGUCUGAGAGGAUGAUCAGCCACACUGGGACUGAGACACGGCCCAGACUCCUACGGGAGGCAGCAGUGGGGAAUAUUGGACAAUGGGCGAAAGCCUGAUCCAGCAAUGCCGCGUGAGUGAUGAAGGCCUGAGGGUUGUAAAGCUCUUUUACCCGGGAUGACAAUGACAGUACCGGGAGAAUAAGCUCCGGCUAACUCCGU